RNAcentral lists this ribosomal RNA (253 nucleotides) under uncultured bacterium. RNAcentral's name for it is "partial 16S ribosomal RNA". It matches the Rfam family "Bacterial small subunit ribosomal RNA", at positions 524 to 776 of the family's 1533-position model. The record is from RNAcentral.
UACGGAGGGUGCAAGCGUUAUCCGGAUUCACUGGGUUUAAAGGGUGCGUAGGAGGGCAGGUAAGUCAGUGGUGAAAUCUUCGAGCUUAACUCGGAAACUGCCGUUGAUACUAUCUGUCUUGAAUAUCGUGGAGGUAAGCGGAAUAUGUCAUGUAGCGGUGAAAUGCUUAGAUAUGACAUAGAACACCGAUUGCGAAGGCAGCUUACUACACGAUCAUUGACGCUGAGGCACGAAAGCGUGGGGAGCAAACAGG